UGGGGAAUUUUGGACAAUGGGCGCAAGCCUGAUCCAGCCAUGCCGCGUGCAGGAUGAAGGCCUUCGGGUUGUAAACUGCUUUUGUACGGAACGAAAAGACUCCUUCUAAUAAAGGGGGUCCAUGACGGUACCGUAAGAAUAAGCACCGGCUAACUACGUGCCAGCAGCCGCGGUAAUACGUAGGGUGCGAGCGUUAAUCGGAAUUACUGGGCGUAAAGCGUGCGCAGGCGGUUAUGUAAGACAGAUGUGAAAUCCCCGGGCUCAACCUGGGAACUGCAUUUGUGACUGCAUAGCUAGAGUACGGCAGAGGGGGAUGGAAUUCCGCGUGUAGCAGUGAAAUGCGUAGAUAUGCGGAGGAACACCGAUGGCGAAGGCAAUCCCCUGGGCCUGUACUGACGCUCAUGCACGAAAGCGUGGGGAGCAAACAGG
RNAcentral lists this ribosomal RNA (429 nucleotides) under uncultured bacterium. Its description in RNAcentral is "partial 16S ribosomal RNA". It matches the Rfam family "Bacterial small subunit ribosomal RNA", at positions 355 to 776 of the family's 1533-position model. RNAcentral also lists the same sequence under 1 other name. The record is from RNAcentral.